UGCCAGCAGCCGCGGUAAUACAGAGGGUGCAAGCGUUAAUCGGAAUUACUGGGCGUAAAGCGUGCGUAGUCGGUUAUCUAAGUCGGAUGUGAAAUCCCCGGGCUCAACCUGGGAAUUGCAUUCGAUACUGGAUAGCUAGAGUUCGGCAGAGGGAAGCGGAAUUUCGGGUGUAGCGGUGAAAUGCGUAGAUAUCCGAAGGAACAUCAGUGGCGAAAGCGGCUUCCUGGACCAGAACUGACGAUCAGGCACGAAAGCGUGGGGAGCAAACAGGAUUAGAUACCCUGGUAGUCCACGCCAUAAACGAUGACAACUAGACGUUGGGAGGGUAAGCCUCACAGUGUCGCAGCUAACGCGUUAAGUUGUCCGCCUGGGGAGUACGGCCGCAAGGUUGAAACUUAAAGGAAUUGGCGGGGG
Molecule: ribosomal RNA, 414 nt
Filed under: uncultured bacterium
Lineage: Bacteria
Description: bacterial SSU rRNA
Rfam family: Bacterial small subunit ribosomal RNA
Source: RNAcentral